Molecule: long non-coding RNA, 135 nt
Organism: Leopardus geoffroyi (Geoffroy's cat)
Lineage: Eukaryota; Metazoa; Chordata; Mammalia; Carnivora; Felidae
Exons: 3
Source: RefSeq, a predicted model, not a curated record
CCGAUCCCUGCCUAACACCAGCACCACCACUCCUAGGGCUUUUCAAAUGUGUCGGCAUCUCUACCUUGGAGAAGUGAAUCAUUCUUCCACACUCCAUAAAUACUUCAAAUCUACACGCUCUGCAAUCUACACAUU